AGAACGACUCUCGGUAACGGAUAUCUCGGCUCUCGCAUCGAUGAAGAACGUAGCGAAAUGCGAUACUUGGUGUGAAUUGCAGAAUCCCGUGAACCAUCGAGUCUUUGAACGCAAGUUGCGCCCGAAGCCUUCUGGCCGAGGGCACGUCUGUCUGGGCGUCACGC
This 164-nucleotide ribosomal RNA is filed under the name Rheum palmatum. Its description in RNAcentral is "5.8S ribosomal RNA". It matches the Rfam family "5.8S ribosomal RNA". Rfam says of the family: 5.8S ribosomal RNA (5.8S rRNA) is a component of the large subunit of the eukaryotic ribosome. It is transcribed by RNA polymerase I as part of the 45S precursor that also contains 18S and 28S rRNA. RNAcentral also lists the same sequence under 1 other name. The record is from RNAcentral. Lineage: Eukaryota; Viridiplantae; Streptophyta; Magnoliopsida; Caryophyllales; Polygonaceae.